Molecule: long non-coding RNA, 574 nt
Organism: Macrobrachium nipponense
Lineage: Eukaryota; Metazoa; Arthropoda; Malacostraca; Decapoda; Palaemonidae
Exons: 3
Source: RefSeq, a predicted model, not a curated record
CGGCUGCCCAUGGAGCUGAUCUUCCUUGGCAAACGAUGACUGCCCUCCUCGGAUGUAGUUUGGCUAUGGGCAACAAACGUCGCACGUUUUACUUGUGACAGCUCGGUAUUCAGUGGUAGUUUAAGGUGCGUUCGUGAGUGCGCGUUUACGAUGGGUAGUCUUUGUCAGUGAUGGGUAUUCAAGCUAUUGAAUUGAUCAUCCGUGUGGACGAUGUUAUCUUGACCGAUAGGUAAAUAGUGAAGAUAGAAAUAAACGGCUGAUCGCCAAAUUAGGUGUGGCCUGGUGAAUUAAUCGAAAGGAAAACCUCAAGUCAUGAGUUAGUUUUAUGAACUACAGCUAUGAAAAUGAAAUGUAAGUUACUAUAGUCGUCCAGAAUUCGUGGAAGGUAAUAUUUUUUAAACUUAAAAUCUUGAUUUAGCUAAACAUGCGCAUUUGAAUUACGUUCAGUAGCAACUUGGCUUGUCUGGGGCUUUUUUUUUGUGGUAGAUCUGGGUACCUAUCCGCGGCGGCCUAGACUAUGGCAGUUGCGGUUUUUCUACGCAGUUUUACCUACUGAACAAGAAUUUUAAGUAAU